Molecule: long non-coding RNA, 2635 nt
Organism: Capsicum annuum
Lineage: Eukaryota; Viridiplantae; Streptophyta; Magnoliopsida; Solanales; Solanaceae
Exons: 2
Source: RefSeq, a predicted model, not a curated record
GCUAUGAAGAUUAUCUUAAGAAGACUGAAAUGUUGGGAGUCAAUUCCAAGGCCUGGCUUGGCAAAGACAACUUGGAAGGUCUGUGAAGGACGAAGAGAAAUAAUAGGUUUCUUUUCCUUCUCAAGAGGCAACCAAUAAUUGCAGCCAUGGCUGGUUUAGCUCUGCUCUUUGAUUAAAUAGGCGAAAAUCUGAGCCUCCUUACCUCAGUUUUAACUUACGGUUGAUCGCUGGAACAGUAUCUUUUAGAAGUUUGCUUGAAUUGAUCUGAAAAUUUAGGUACUGAUUUCAUGAAAAUACAAAAGACCAAAACAGGUCAGUUCACACUUGAAAGACUACUUUGAACCUACUCUCAAACUAAGUUGCUCGGACUCUCCAAAAAUGUUGCCGCACCCGUGUCGGAUCCUUCAAAAUACACUAUUUUUGGACACGGAUCCUUCAAAAAUACACUAUUUUUGGAGGAUCCGACACACAUCCGUAUACAUUUUUGAAGAGUCCAAGCAACUUAGCUCUCAAACAUAAGGGACCAUUUUUGACAUUUCUUCUAUUCUAGACGUUUGUGUCUUAUUUGCCUCCGUCUUCUCGACAUAGCAAAAGCUCAGAAUGGAGAGAAUGAGGCCCCGGAGAGUUGGAGGAUUUCGUUGAAAGGAUGGUUGCCUCUCUCUGCAUUAGCCAAUGAUUUCUCCGUUACUGUAAAAACAUCAACAGCCUUUUCUUAGCUCUUUUGGACUUCACUCUUUCUGAUUAAAAAGCAAUCCCAAGAAAUAGCUAUUUAUUGCAUAUACAGACCUCUCAAAAAUGGCCAUCCUCUGCAAAAACAUUUCAUUAUUCCCUUUCAGAGGGAGUAUGAUCAGUAUGCAUUUGGAGUUGUGGAGUUUGGUGCUGUAUGCUAACACCAUGUGUUUUUCUGUUACUUUCUUUCUUUCUUUUGUGACUUCGCUGGAGCAUUGGUGGUGACUGGUGAGUAUAAUUGGCAGCUAAAAAAUGGCGAUGAUGAUUUCUGUGAUUUUUUCAUGGGAAAGGGUCAAAUUCGCCCCUCUUCUAUUCAAAUAGCACUAAUUUUGCCUCCCUUUUGAGCUUAUUAGUCGGGCAUUUGAGAUUAUCCGACCCGUAUCUUUGCGGGGCAUGACCCCAGAUUUUCUGGUGGUUUUUGCAGCCAUGGUGUCGCUGGAUUCUCUGUCAUGCGCGAGUUUAAACACAAAUCUGAGCCUCAAUUUCUGGGAAACUGGAAGUAUUUGACCCGAUUUUUGAACUCCCAUCAAAUCCUUGGCUUGCUCAGGAAAUGGGCAUUCACUUCCAAGAGGAAAUAAUUAUGGACAUCCUUAGCAGGUUACCUGUGUAGUCUCUUCUUUCGAUUCAAAUGUUUCAAAACCUUGGAAGAAACUAACCUCUGAUCCUUACUUUAUAAGGAAGCAUCUCAAUCACGCCAAGAAUUAUCAAAUUUCCCAGAAAUUUCUUCUUUAUCGUCAACUCAACUGGUUGAGGAUGUACAAAAACUUGAUUGCCCGUCAGACUUUGAACCAUGGUGUGUCGGAAUCUAUUGUUGUUUCGAUGGCUUGUCUUUUAUUUGGGUUCUUAAUUUUCCUGAUAAAGAUCUCAUGUUUUUGCUAUGGAACCCCUUCACAAGAGAACCAAUAGUACUUCCUCGUCCAGAAUUUCCACCACAGGGAACUUUUACAUAUGGAUGGGAUAUGACUCAACUACUGAUGGCUAUAAGGUCCUUAAGACUGAUGUGGAUAGAAAUGAUGGUUGUAAAGUAUCUAGUGAAAUUCUCUCACUAAAAAAUGACUCGUGGAGUAAAAUUGAUGAACAUCCUAGUGGCAGAUGCUGUGCGUUGUAUGUAGGUCUUAUUUGCACAUGAGCAUUUCAUUGGCUCAGUUUUUCACGAUAGUUUUCUAUGAUUUCAUUUAGUAUUUCAAAUGAGGUGUACGGAACGAUACCAUUGCUGGAGCAAAUGCGUAUGGUAUCGAUGCACAACAGGGUUUGACGUUUCAGUAGUGGAAGGAAUGCUUUGUGUUUACUCUACUGAUUUCAUGGCUUGAAAGAGGUAUUGAUGAUCUUGUCAAUCUAUCGUUCCCUUCUAUGAUUAUUAAUCCAACAUUUGAAAUUAUCCAGCCCGUAUCUUGGCCAGGCAUGACCCCAGAUUUUCUGGUGGUUUUUGCAGCCAUGGCGUCGUCGGAUCACUUUGUGUGCAGGAUAUAACACAGAUCUAUGCCUCAAUUUUUGGGAACUCUCCGUAGUUUAUGUGUGAGGUUGCGGUGAAGAAAGUGAGCUGUGGGGGAGUUCCAAUGGGUGGUUUUGCACCCUUCUGUCAUUGUCCGCUGCCAAUGAUCUCCCAAAUGGAAGUUUUUCCGAUUGCAAAACCACCCUUAGUUGAUUGAUUUAUUACUUCCUUCGUUUCAUUUUUUAGAGGCUAUGAAGAUUGUUGUUUGAAGAAAAUAUCUUGGUGUGGCAGCUCUCAGAUGGAUCUGUGAGAUUUGGUGAAAAGAUCUAAUUUUGAUGUUUUUUCUCAUUCUCAUAAGGCUAACUGAUCCUUGCAGCCAUGACAGUUUUAAAGCUCUUCGGAUUUUGUAUGAGAACAGUGAAUCAGAGCCUCCCCUUUUGCCUUGAUUGUUCUAGAAGAAUGAGGCUUUUUUGA